AGAGUUUGAUCCUGGCUCAGAUUGAACGCUGGCGGCAUGCUUUACACAUGCAAGUCGAGCGGCAGCGCGGGGGCAACCCUGGCGGCGAGCGGCGAACGGGUGAGUAAUGCAUCGGAACGUAUCCUGUAGUGGGGAAUAACUCACCGAAAGGUGAGCUAAUACCGCAUAAGCUCUGAGGAGGAAAGCGGGGGACCGAAAGGCCUCGCGCUGCAGGAGCGGCCGAUGUCCGAUUAGCUAGUUGGUGAGGUAAAGGCUCACCAAGGCGACGAUCGGUAGCUGGUCUGAGAGGAUGAUCAGCCACACUGGGACUGAGACACGGCCCAGACUCCUACGGGAGGCAGCAGUGGGGAGUUUUGGACAAUGGGGGAAACCCUGAUCCAGCCAUGCCGCGUGAGUGAAGAAGGCCUUCGGGUUGUAAAGCUCUUUCGGACGGAACGAAAUUGCUUGGACUAAUACUCUGAGUAGAUGACGGUACCGUAAGAAGAAGCACCGGCUAACUACGUGCCAGCAGCCGCGGUAAUACGUAGGGUGCAAGCGUUAAUCGGAAUUACUGGGCGUAAAGCGUGCGCAGGCGGCUAUGCAAGACAGAUGUGAAAUCCCCGGGCUCAACCUGGGAACUGCAUUUGUGACUGCAUGGCUAGAGUACGGUAGAGGGGGAUGGAAUUCCGCGUGUAGCAGUGAAAUGCGUAGAUAUGC
This 696-nucleotide ribosomal RNA is filed under the name uncultured bacterium. Its description in RNAcentral is "bacterial SSU rRNA". It matches the Rfam family "Bacterial small subunit ribosomal RNA", at positions 8 to 699 of the family's 1533-position model. The record is from RNAcentral.